CAUGUUAAACAUUUAAUAUAAAAAAUUAUCUAGGGUGCAAUUUUAAUAAAUAAUUCGUUAUUCGUCUUUCUUUCAUACCGGUACUAAUCCGGAUUGGGGAUGAACACGUCAACAAAAUCAGGAUUGGAGAUGAAAUUGAAGGUCACUUGCCCGUUUCUUAAUAUGUAUUAAAUCUACAUGCAAGCCGUGUCAACAUAGAAGACAUGUGGAAUCUUGAACUGAACUUUUGUAGGGUAAGACCAUAUCUGUUUAUGCCGUAACUAUGAAGUCUCAGAUCAUAGACCAUUUUUUUAUAAAUUAAGAGUGUAUGUUUUUUUCUCUCGUUGCAACGCACGGGCCCUUUUGCUAGUAAACAACAAACCCCAAAACCACAAAUGACAAAACCCAAAAUCACCAAAGCAUGUAGUCCCGGUUGACGUUACCAACCGAGACUAAAGAUCCCGGCCACACCACGCAUGCAGCCAGCCACGUGGAAAUGUAUUAGUCCCAAUUCGUAGCAAACCGAAACUAAAGGGGGGGGGGUCUUUAAUCCCAAGUUAAUAGUCCCGGUUGAUAAACCGGGACUAUAUGCCCUUAUCAACCGAAACUAUAGCCCGGUUUUCCACUAGUGAACCCAUUGUACAAUGAAAUGAAUCUUUCGAGUCCUAUUUAUGAAUGAUGAGGAAAGAUGGGAUCUGAGCGACAAGUAGAUGUGAGUCUACUUGAUUAUAUGAAUAAGUUUCGUUCUUUGUGUCCACAUAAUAUAUAGACCUUCCCUGUUACAUCUAUUAUCAAUUUAGAAUGUGAGAAAACCCACUUUAAUGUUUCUUGUGGCAUUUGCUUUCCACCAUGUUUCAUAUGUGGAGUGAAUUGUUGCUGAUUUUCCAUGGCUAUUUAUAGUCACUUCUAUCAAACGAGUUGUCAUAGGUUUAUUUGGUCUCGGCUCGGACAAUAAGUGUGACAUUGAUUAAAGGAUUGCAUCUAUGGAACACCACCUAUUUAGAGUGAGCAAAAGCGCACUCGCAUUUCUCAAUCUUCGUUUUGCAUUGCGUGACUAUAGCAAUGUUGGCGAAACACCGUGCAGGCCCUGAAGUAAAUAUUUGACUUCUAGGUUAUUUAAUGUAUGCCAAGUGGAUGUAUAUCCAGCUAGAGCUAGGAUGAUUCUACAAUGAAAGAUAGACCUAGGAUUGGGAGGAAACAGGAUGUUGCUGUCAGGAGCCUUGUUCCUGAAGUGUAUGAACUCUGGACUGAGCCAUUGUAUGAAAAAACUGCAACGCAGAAAUGGGAGAUGCCCCGGGACUGUUUAACUGAAGAUGGAGCUUGUUAGGAAUAAACACGUACAUGUCUGUGUCCUUGCCGUCCAAGUAUAUAUGUGUGCGUGUCCGUGUAGGUUUCCUAAACAAACACUGAGUAGGAUUACUAGUUGAUAGAGGCUAACUAGUAUAUAUACUCAAGAUAUCCCCUAUAAACUUGUACCGUGAAUCAGAUCCAACAAAGCAAUACAAAUCUUAAGAGCGACACGCUUCUGUUACUAUACAUCGGCGCCUCGUGUUUUGUCUCGGCGAAGAUUGAUAGUAAAUCCGGCGGCUUGUUGUUUGGCACGUAACGUUGAGCUAGCUUCAUGUGUACGUGCUAGCUAAUCAGCCAAAGGAUCGAUCCAGCUCCCUGCUUGCUUGGUUGCUUGCUUAGUAUUACGUGUGUGUUUGACGGCCGAAAUCGUAGAUCGUCGGAAAGUACUCGGCGUACGGGUCUAUGCCAACAAUUGGUAUCUAGAGCAAGGUUGAUCUUUUAGUAACGGAAGAUCAUGUCGGAGGACGACAAAGCCAAGCAGCUGACGGCGUACUCCGGUGCGGCUAAAAUAUUUGCUGCUCCGGCUAGUUCGUCAUACCCACGAUUUGAUCGCGAGAACUUCGGGGUUUGGAAAGCCCUGAUGGAGUGUGGUCUCCGCGCCAACGUGUUGUGGGACGCAGUCGAUCCAGGAGGCGACGCUUUCAAGAAGGAGCGAGCUGAGCAUCGGAAGGAUCGGCAGG
RNAcentral lists this long non-coding RNA (2009 nucleotides) under Hordeum vulgare. Its description in RNAcentral is "long non-coding RNA (HVUL_LNC013785)". Lineage: Eukaryota; Viridiplantae; Streptophyta; Magnoliopsida; Poales; Poaceae. The record is from RNAcentral.